GAUGAACGCUAGCGAUAGGCCUAACACAUGCAAGUCGAGGGGCAUCACAUGAAGUAGCAAUACGGAUGGUGGCGACCGGCGCACGGGUGAGUAACACGUAUGCAACCUGCCUUCAACAAGGGGAUAACCCGUUGAAAGACGGACUAAUACCCUAUAACACAGGGGUCCCGCAUGGGAAUAUUUGUUAAAGGACAACCGGUUGAAGAUGGGCAUGCGUUCCAUUAGCUAGUUGGCGGGGUAACGGCCCACCAAGGCAACGAUGGAUAGGGGAACUGAGAGGUUUAUCCCCCAACUGGUACUGAGACACGGACCAGACUCCUACGGGAGGCAGCAGUGAGGAAUAUUGGUCAAUGGACGCAAGUCUGAACCAGCCACGUCGCGUGAAGGAAGACGGCCCUAACGGGUUGUAAACUUCUUUUAACGGGAAUAAAGUGCCCCACGCGUGGGGUUUUGCAUGUACCGUAUGAAUAAGGAUCGGCUAACUCCGUGCCAGCA
Molecule: ribosomal RNA, 495 nt
Filed under: uncultured bacterium
Lineage: Bacteria
Description: bacterial SSU rRNA
Rfam family: Bacterial small subunit ribosomal RNA
Source: RNAcentral